AUACGGAGGUUGCAAGCGUUACUCGGAAUCACUGGGCGUAAAGCGCGCGCAGGCGGCUAUUUAAGUUGGAUGUGAAAGCCUACGGCUCAACCGUAGAACUGCAUCCAAAACUAUUUAGCUAGAGUGUGGGAGAGGAAGAUGGAAUUAGUUGUGUAGGGGUAAAAUCCGUAGAGAUAACUAGGAAUACCAAAAGCGAAGGCAAUCUUCUGGAACACUACUGACGCUGAGGCGCGAAAGCGUGGGGAGCAAACAGGAUUAGAAACCCUAGUAGUCC
This 274-nucleotide ribosomal RNA is filed under the name uncultured bacterium. RNAcentral describes it as "partial 16S ribosomal RNA". It matches the Rfam family "Bacterial small subunit ribosomal RNA", at positions 523 to 796 of the family's 1533-position model. The record is from RNAcentral.